CAAUAGCGUAUAUUAAAGUUGUUGCGGUUAAAAAGCUCGUAGUUGGAUUUCUGCUGAGAACGACCGGUCCGCCCUUUGGGUGUGUAUCUGGCUCUUUCUUGGCAUCUUCUUGGUGAACGUUGCUGCACUUGACUGUGUGGAGCGCUACCCAGGACUUUUACUUUGAGGAAAUUAGAGUGUUUCAAGCAGGCAUACGCCUUGAAUACAUUAGCAUGGAAUAAUAAGAUAGGACCUCGGUUCUAUUUUGUUGGUUUCUAGAGCUGAGGUAAUGAUUAAUAGGGAUAGUUGGGGGCAUUCGUAUUUAACUGUCAGAGGUGAAAUUCUUGGAUUUGUUAAAGACGGACUACGGCGAAAGCAUUUGCCAAGGAUGUUUUCAUUGA
Molecule: ribosomal RNA, 380 nt
Filed under: uncultured eukaryote
Lineage: Eukaryota
Description: partial 18S ribosomal RNA
Rfam family: Eukaryotic small subunit ribosomal RNA
Source: RNAcentral